CAAAAGGCUCUUUUCAGAGCCACCCACUGAUCUCUAGCAAAAGAG
Molecule: non-coding RNA, 45 nt
Organism: Erinaceus europaeus (western European hedgehog)
Lineage: Eukaryota; Metazoa; Chordata; Mammalia; Eulipotyphla; Erinaceidae
Source: Rfam